GCUAGCGGCGGGCCUAACACAUGCAAGUCGAGGGGUAACAGAAAAAAGCUUGCUUUUUUGCUGACGACCGGCGAACGGGUGCGUAACGCGUAUGCAACUUACCUUUAACAAGAGAAUAGCCCCGAGAAAUCGGGAUUAAUACUCUAUAAUAUCAUUUGAUGGCAUCUGAAGAUGAUUAAAGCUCCGGCGGUUAAAGAUAGGCAUGCGUUAGAUUAGCUAGUUGGUAAGGUAACGGCUUACCAAGGCAACGAUCUAUAGGGGGUCUGAGAGGAUGAUCCCCCACACUGGUACUGAGACACGGACCAGACUCCUACGAGAGGCAGCAGUGAGGAAUAUUGGUCAAUGGACGAAAGUCUGAACCAGCCAUGCCGCGUGCAGGAAGAAUGCCCUAUGGGUUGUAAACUGCUUUUAUGUAAGAAGAAACCCUUCCACGUGUGGGAGGCUGACGGUAUUACAAGAAUAAGCACCGGCUAACUCCGUGCCAGCAGCCGCGGUAAUACGGAGGGUGCAAGCGUUAUCCGGAUUUAUUGGGUUUAAAGGGUCCGCAGGCGGAAAAUUAAGUCAGUGGUGAAAUCCUACAGCUUAACUGUAGAACUGCCAUUGAUACUGAUUUUCUUGAGUAUAGUUGAAGUGGGCGGAA
Molecule: ribosomal RNA, 640 nt
Filed under: uncultured Bacteroidota bacterium
Lineage: Bacteria; Pseudomonadati; Bacteroidota
Description: bacterial SSU rRNA
Rfam family: Bacterial small subunit ribosomal RNA
Source: RNAcentral